RNAcentral lists this unclassified non-coding RNA (284 nucleotides) under plant metagenome. RNAcentral's name for it is "partial contains small subunit ribosomal RNA, internal transcribed spacer 1, and 5.8S ribosomal RNA". The stretch from base 1 to 54 matches the Rfam family "Eukaryotic small subunit ribosomal RNA", at positions 1778 to 1831 of the family's 1831-position model. The record is from RNAcentral.
GGUAGUAAAAGUCGUAACAAGGUCUCCGUUGGUGAACCAGCGGAGGGAUCAUUACCGAGUUUACAACUCCCAAACCCCUAUGUGAACGUUACCAAACUGUUGCCUCGGCGGGAAAUUCAUGCCCCGGGCGCGUCGCAGCCCCGGACCAAGGCGCCCGCCGGAGGACCAACCAAAACUCUUUUGUAUGUCCCUCGCGGACUUUUAUAAUUCUGAACCAUCUCGGCGCCCCUAGCGGGCGUUUCGAAAAUGAAUCAAAACUUUCAACAACGGAUCUCUUGGUUCUG